Non-coding RNA from Angiostrongylus cantonensis (rat lungworm), 73 nucleotides. NCBI's taxonomy places the organism in Eukaryota, Metazoa, Nematoda, Chromadorea, Rhabditida, Metastrongylidae. The record is from Rfam.
GCCUGCGUGGCCUAAUGGAUAAGGCGUCUGACUUCUAAUCAGAAGAUUCCCGGUUCGACCCCGGCCGUGGGCU